GACGAACGCUGGCGGCGUGCCUAAUACAUGCAAGUAGAACGCUGAAGGAGGAGCUUGCUCUUCUGGAUGAGUUGCGAACGGGUGAGUAACGCGUAGGUAACCUGCCUGGUAGCGGGGGAUAACUAUUGGAAACGAUAGCUAAUACCGCAUAACAGUAGAUGUUGCAUGACAUUUGCUUAAAAGGUGCAAUUGCACCACUACCAGAUGGACCUGCGUUGUAUUAGCUAGUUGGUGGGGUAACGGCUCACCAAGGCGACGAUACAUAGCCGACCUGAGAGGGUGAACGGCCACACUGGGACUGGGACACGGCCCAGACUCCUAAGGGAGGCAGCAGUAGGGAAACUUCGGCAAUGGACGGAAGGCUGACCGAGCAACGCCGCGUGAGUGAAGAAGGUUUUCGGAUCGUAAAGCUCUGUUGUAAGAGAAGAACGAGUGUGAGGGUGGAAAGUUCACACUGUGACGGUAUCUUACCAGAAAGGGACGGCUAACUACGUG
RNAcentral lists this ribosomal RNA (495 nucleotides) under uncultured bacterium. RNAcentral's name for it is "partial 16S ribosomal RNA". It matches the Rfam family "Bacterial small subunit ribosomal RNA", at positions 28 to 507 of the family's 1533-position model. The record is from RNAcentral.